RNAcentral lists this ribosomal RNA (497 nucleotides) under uncultured bacterium. RNAcentral describes it as "partial 16S ribosomal RNA". It matches the Rfam family "Bacterial small subunit ribosomal RNA", at positions 28 to 507 of the family's 1533-position model. The record is from RNAcentral.
GAUGAACGCUGGCGGCGUGCCUAAUACAUGCAAGUCGAGCGAACAGACGAGGAGCUUGCUCCUUCGACGUUAGCGGCGGACGGGUGAGUAACACGUAGGUAACCUACCUAUAAGACUGGGAUAACUUCGGGAAACCGGAGCUAAUACCGGAUAAUAUUUCGAACCGCAUGGUUCGAUAGUGAAAGAUGGCUUUGCUAUCACUUAUAGAUGGACCUGCGCCGUAUUAGCUAGUUGGUAAGGUAACGGCUUACCAAGGCAACGAUAAGUAGCCGACCUGAGAGGGUGAUCGGCCACACUGGAACUGAGACACGGUCCAGACUCCUACGGGAGGCAGCAGUAGGGAAUAUUGCGGAAUGGGCGAAAGCAUGACGGAGCAACGGCGCGUGAGUGAUGAAGGUCUUCGGAGCGUAAAACUCUGUUAUUAGGGAAGAACAAACGUGUAAGUAACUGUGCACGUCUUGACGGUACCUAAUCAGAAAGCCACGGCUAACUACGUG